Molecule: ribosomal RNA, 158 nt
Filed under: Thelephora ganbajun
Lineage: Eukaryota; Fungi; Basidiomycota; Agaricomycetes; Thelephorales; Thelephoraceae
Description: 5.8S ribosomal RNA
Rfam family: 5.8S ribosomal RNA
About the family: 5.8S ribosomal RNA (5.8S rRNA) is a component of the large subunit of the eukaryotic ribosome. It is transcribed by RNA polymerase I as part of the 45S precursor that also contains 18S and 28S rRNA.
Source: RNAcentral
AUACAACUUUCAGCAACGGAUCUCUUGGCUCUCGCAUCGAUGAAGAACGCAGCGAAAUGCGAUAAGUAAUGUGAAUUGCAGAAUUCAGUGAAUCRUCGAAUCUUUGAACGCACCUUGCGCCCUUUGGCCAUUCCGAAGGGCAUGCCYGUUUGAGUAUC